Molecule: ribosomal RNA, 465 nt
Filed under: uncultured bacterium
Lineage: Bacteria
Description: partial 16S ribosomal RNA
Rfam family: Bacterial small subunit ribosomal RNA
Source: RNAcentral
GACGAACGCUGGCGGCGUGCUUAACACAUGCAAGUCGAACGGAAAGGCCCUGCUUGCAGGGUACUCGAGUGGCGAACGGGUGAGUAACACGUGGGUGAUCUGCCCUGCACUUCGGGAUAAGCCUGGGAGACUGGGUCUAAUACCGGAUAGGAGCCAUUUUUAGUGUGAUGGUUGGAAAGUUUUUUCGGUGUAGGGUGAGCUCGCGGCCUAUCAGCUUGUUGGUGGGGUAAUGGCCUACCAAGGCGGCGACGGGUAGCCGGCCUGAGAGGGUGGACGGCCACAUUGGGACUGAGAGACGGCCCAGACUCCUACGGGAGGGAGCAGGGGGGAAGAUUGAACAAGGGGCGCAAGGCUGAUGCAGCGACGCCGCGGGGGGGAUGACGGCCUUAGGGUUGUAAACUCCUUUCGCUAGGGACGAAGCUUUUUGUGACGGUACCUAGAUAAGAAGCACCGGCUAACUACGUG